This is a non-coding RNA of Cinara cedri, 563 nucleotides long. NCBI's taxonomy places the organism in Eukaryota, Metazoa, Arthropoda, Insecta, Hemiptera, Aphididae. The record is from the annotation of a GenBank genome assembly.
AUUACCUUUGUAUUGCUUGGGUUUAUUGCUAGGCCGAUUUCCUCGGUAGUAUUUUCCAACGUUAUUGACGUGUUUGCUAGUGUCUGUUAGCGAGUUUCCUAUGAUAUCCAAAUCAUCUGUGAAUCCAAGUCCACACAGGCUGAUAUUGACGUUGUGUUCUACGUACUGCAUCUCUUUUACAACUUUUUCUAGUGCCAGGUUGAAUUCUAUUGGAUACAUUGCACCCUCUUGCUUCAAUCCUGUGUCCACUUUAAAGGAUAUACUUUGUGUUGUCCACUCUCACUCUGUACUAUAAUUUCUCAAUAUAAAGUUUGCUUUGUCUAACUAGUUGUUUUUUGGGGAACCUAAACUCAUUCAUUAUGUUCUAUAAGCUUUCCCUAUGGAUACUGUGGCAUACUUUUCUAAAAUCAUAAAUUCCACUAAAAUUCCAAAAUACAUCAAUAUACAUAUCAAAUGCAUAUCUGAAGCAGCAAUCAAGGCCAAGAAAGGAGCAGAAACAAUAUGGUUGAACCCUGAAAUAAAAUUGUUAUUCAGCAGAAAACACGUAAUAGUAAAAAUAGGCU